This 1174-nucleotide long non-coding RNA is filed under the name Vigna radiata. RNAcentral's name for it is "long non-coding RNA (VRAD_LNC006543)". Lineage: Eukaryota; Viridiplantae; Streptophyta; Magnoliopsida; Fabales; Fabaceae. The record is from RNAcentral.
UCGGUAAUUUCAGUUUUCCGAAGGCUUUACCGAGGGCCUGUUGAGUAGUAAAAUACCGAAGGCUUUAGAUCGUCAGUAAGCGAAGUAUUAUUUAUCGAAGGCCUUUAGCCCUCGGUAAGGGGUUCGAUUAUAUGUUUUCCGAAGGCUUUAUCGAAGGCCUUUGCCCCUCGGUAAGUUGUUCGAUUAUCUGAAAUAACAACUCGCUCCCCCAUUUCGCAAAAACAAUUCUUCCCCAAAACAGCAGAAGGUAUCCACCAUCUCUGCAACUGCCCUCUACCCCAUUCGUGUUGUUUCCAAAUCCUCCACUGCAAUCGUCGUUCCCCAAUCUCCAGUGGACGAUUUCUCUGCAAACCCUCAUUCCCCAAUCCUCCAUUCUGGUCGCUCUUCAGUCGCAAGUGUCCAUUGUAGUUGCUCCUAAGGAAUCUGGUGGUUGACGACAACUAUUGUGGCGAGACUGUUGGAGGUGGUUGGCUGUCGAGGGGGUUGUCGCCAUUAUCACUAGGCAGGACGGUUGUUGCUGGGUGACGAGGGCUUCCAUUAUCGCUGCAUGACCCCGCGGCUACUGCUACGUGAGGAGGUGUUCCAUUAUCGCUAGGGAGGCUAUUGGAGGGGGUUGUCGUGGAGGUAAGUUGAAAAUUGAUAUUGUUGCAAGUUGCUUAUUGUGUGUUUUCAUACGGUCUCUGUAAUCCAAGUUGUGUUUGAUAGGGCUGAGAGGUUUCAUUCUCCUCUGCAUUCUUGCGCCAGUGGUUUUCUUCCUUGCUCGGGGACUCUACGUUGCUGGUUAGUUCGGUUAAUGUUUUAAUUUUGUUUAUUGAUUGUUGUUUUGUGCGUUUGAAGAUCUGUGUAGAUUGUAAUAUUGAGUAGUUUAGGGUUUUUGAAUGGUUUUUGGUUUAGUUGUGGUUUUAGUGUUAAGUGUCUGUGGUAGUUGUAUGUUGAGUGAUUAGUUAGAAGGGUGUGUGUGACUUUGAGAGUUGCUUUGUGAGAGUAAGUGUAAUGCUUGGACAAGUGUCUUUUGGAACCUGUGACACUCAAACCAUUCAUGCUCUGAAUUGGUGUUCCAAUUCAUCUUAUCGAUGUUGAAUGAAAUGUCAACAUCCAAUUCUUUUGAUUAGACACAAAGAAAGAGAAGAUAAUUUAGACAGGAAAAAGAUUAUAGAUUAAUAGUAAAUGGCGC